UUUUGUAUGGAUUCAGUGCUUGCUGAAUAAUGGUGUGGUUGUAACCCAACACAGGUCUGCCACGUGCUGCUUGCAGAGUCCAGUGACAAGUGCAAGAAAUGAAGAAUUCUCUCCUAUUCAUCUGGUUUUGGAUUCCGUUUCAAAAUGGAGUCUCACUCUAUUGGAGUACAACUGUGUGAUCCUGGUUCACUGGCAACCUCCGCCUCCUGGGUUCAAGCGAUUCUCCUGCCUCAGCCUUCCAAGUAGCUGGGACUGCAGGCACUUCCCACCACGACCAGCUAAUUUUUGUAUUUUUAGUAGAGACAGAGUUUCACCAUGUUGGCCAGGCUGGUCUUGAACUCCUGACCUCAAGUGAUCCGCCUGUCUCAGCCUCCCAAAGUGCUGGGAUUACAGGCAUAAGCCACCACGCCUGGCCCAUAACUUCUUUCUUUUAGUAAAGAGUCAUGCACACCUCUUGAAUUUCUUCUCAGCUUUCCUGCCAUCCGUGUGAUUUUGAACGAGGAAUCUUAAGAAUACAAGGUGAGAAUUUGCCUUAUUUGUCACCAUGCAGCUUGGUUCUGUCAUCUUCC
Long non-coding RNA from Gorilla gorilla gorilla (western lowland gorilla), 569 nucleotides. RefSeq lists it as uncharacterized. The transcript has 4 exons. Lineage: Eukaryota; Metazoa; Chordata; Mammalia; Primates; Hominidae. The record is from RefSeq and is a predicted model, not a curated record.